Molecule: long non-coding RNA, 206 nt
Filed under: Elaeis guineensis (African oil palm)
Lineage: Eukaryota; Viridiplantae; Streptophyta; Magnoliopsida; Arecales; Arecaceae
Description: long non-coding RNA (EGUI_LNC027335)
Source: RNAcentral
GAUUUAGAUUAUUGGCCAUACCAAUAAAUGCAUAUUUUAAAGACAUAAUGAUGGAAAUUAGUUUGACCAACUCACUUAAUCCAUGAAUUUGGUAUCAUAUUCAUAAUAUCAUGACAAUAAAACUUCAUAAAUUGAAAAUUUUAUAGCCAAAGAAGAAUCCGAUUGAUCAAAGAUCCCCAAACCUAUAAAAUAUCAUGUUUCUACCA